RNAcentral lists this ribosomal RNA (1512 nucleotides) under metagenome. RNAcentral describes it as "bacterial SSU rRNA". It matches the Rfam family "Bacterial small subunit ribosomal RNA". The record is from RNAcentral.
AGAGUUUGAUCCUGGCUCAGAACGAACGCUGGUGGCGUGCCUAACACAUGCAAGUCGCACGAGAAAGCUUCCCUCGGGAAGCAAGUAAAGUGGCGAACGGGUGAGUAACACGUGAGUAAUCUACCUUAAAUGCUUGGAAUAACUAUUCGAAAGGAUGGCUAAUACCAAAUGUGACCACGAUUUCUUAGGAAAAUGAGGUAAAAGAAGGCCUCUGCGUGCAAGCUUUCGCUUUAAGAUGAGCUCGCGGACCAUUAGCUAGUUGGUAAGGUAAUGGCUUACCAAGGCAGUGAUGGUUAGCUGGUCUGAGAGGAUGAUCAGCCACACUGGAACUGAAACACGGUCCAGACUCCUACGGGAGGCAGCAGUGGGGAAUAUUGCGCAAUGGGGGAAACCCUGACGCAGCGACGCCACGUGGGUGAAGAAGGCCUUCGGGUUGUAAAGCCCUUUCAGGAAGAAAGAAAUGGAAUUAAGUAAUUGUAAUUCCUUGACGGUACUUUCAGAAGAAGCACCGGCUAACUCCGUGCCAGCAGCCGCGGUAAUACGGAGGGUGCAAGCGUUGUUCGGAAUUAUUGGGCGUAAAGCGCGUGUAGGCGGUUUAAAAAGUCAGGUGUGAAAGACCCCGGCUUAACUGGGGAAGUGCACUUGAUACUAUUAGGCUUGAGUACAGGAGAGGGAAGCGGAAUUCCCGGUGUAGAGGUGAAAUUCGUAGAUAUCGGGAGGAACACCGGUGGCGAAGGCGGCUUCCUGGACUGUCACUGACGCUGAGACGCGAAAGCGUGGGUAGCAAACAGGAUUAGAUACCCUGGUAGUCCACGCUGUAAACUAUGGGUGCUAGGUGUUGGAGGUAUUGACCCCUUCAGUGCCGAAGGAAACCCAUUAAGCACCCCGCCUGGGGAGUACGGCUGCAAGGUUAAAACUCAAAGGAAUUGACGGGGGCCCGCACAAGCGGUGGAGCAUGUGGUUCAAUUCGACACAACGCGAAGAACCUUACCUGGUCUUGACAUCCCGUGACACCCGGGGAAACUCGGUUUCCUCCUUAUGGAGACACGGUGACAGGUGCUGCAUGGCUGUCGUCAGCUCGUGUCGUGAGAUGUUGGGUUAAGUCCCGCAACGAGCGCAACCCUUGUCUUUAGUUGCCAUCAUUUAGUCGGGCACUCUAAGGAGACUGCCGGUCUUCAAGCCGGAGGAAGGUGGGGAUGACGUCAAGUCCUCAUGGUCUUUACGACCAGGGCUACACACGUGCUACGAUGGCCGGUACAAAGAGCUGCUAACCCGCGAGGGGGCGCUAAUCUCAAAAAGCCGGUCCUAGUUCGGAUCGGAGUCUGCAACUCGACUCCGUGAAGCCGGAAUCGCUAAUCAGCAGAUCAGAACGCUGCGGUGAAUACGUUCUCGGGCCUUGUACACACCGCCCGUCACACCAUGGGAGUUGAUUGCACCAGAAGUCGCCAGGCUAACUUCGGAGGCAGGCGCCUAAGGUGUGAUUAGCGACUGGGGUGAAGUCGUAACAAGGUA